AAUGAACGCUGGCGGCGUGGAUUAGGCAUGCAAGUCGGACGCGUGCAGCAAUGUACGAGUGGCGACCUGGUUAGUACAAGUUGGGUAACCUGCCCGAAAGUGGGGAACAACCUCUCGAAAGAGGGGCUAAUACCGCAUGUGGUUUGGGGUGCUUUGGCUCCCUUAACUAAAGCAGCGAUGCGCUUUCGGAUGGGCCCGACUCCCAUUAGUUAGUUGGUGGGGUAACGGCUCACCAAGACCGCGGUGGGUAGCUGGU
RNAcentral lists this ribosomal RNA (256 nucleotides) under uncultured bacterium. RNAcentral's name for it is "partial 16S ribosomal RNA". It matches the Rfam family "Bacterial small subunit ribosomal RNA", at positions 29 to 291 of the family's 1533-position model. The record is from RNAcentral.